AACUUUCAACAACGGAUCUCUUGGUUCCAGCAUCGAUGAAGAACGCAGCGAAAUGCGAUAAAUAAUGUGAAUUGCAGAAUUCAGUGAAUCAUCGAGUCUUUGAACGCACAUUGCGCCCCUCGGUAUUCCGGGGGGCAUGCCUGUCCGAGCGUCAUU
This 156-nucleotide ribosomal RNA is filed under the name Melanelixia glabra. RNAcentral describes it as "5.8S ribosomal RNA". It matches the Rfam family "5.8S ribosomal RNA". Rfam says of the family: 5.8S ribosomal RNA (5.8S rRNA) is a component of the large subunit of the eukaryotic ribosome. Lineage: Eukaryota; Fungi; Ascomycota; Lecanoromycetes; Lecanorales; Parmeliaceae. The record is from RNAcentral. RNAcentral also lists the same sequence under 1 other name.